CUACGUGCCAGCAGCCGCGGUAAUACGGAGGGUGCGAGCGUUAAUCGGAAUAACUGGGCGUAAAGGGCACGCAGGCGGCUAUUUAAGUGAGGUGUGAAAUCCCCGGGCUUAACCUGGGAAUUGCAUUUCAGACUGGGUAGCUAGAGUACUUUAGGGAGGGGUAGAAUUCCACGUGUAGCGGUGAAAUGCGUAGAGAUGUGGAGGAAUACCGAAGGCGAAGGCAGCCCCUUGGGAAUGUACUGACGCUCAUGUGCGAAAGCGUGGGGAGCAAACAGGAUUAGAUACCCUGGUAGUCCACGCUGUAAACGCUGUCGAUUUGGGGAUUGGGCUUUAAGCUUGGUGCCCGUAGCUAACGUGAUAAAUCGACCGCCUGGGGAGUACGGCCGCAAGGUUAAAACUCAAAUGAAUUGACGGGGGCCCGCACAAGCGGUGGAGCAUGUGGUUUAAUUCGAUGCAACGCGAAGAACUCUUAC
RNAcentral lists this ribosomal RNA (473 nucleotides) under uncultured bacterium. RNAcentral's name for it is "bacterial SSU rRNA". It matches the Rfam family "Bacterial small subunit ribosomal RNA", at positions 501 to 974 of the family's 1533-position model. The record is from RNAcentral.